Long non-coding RNA from Chloebia gouldiae (Gouldian finch), 1760 nucleotides. The record is from Ensembl. Lineage: Eukaryota; Metazoa; Chordata; Aves; Passeriformes; Passeridae.
GGUGUGAGGGGCGUUUAGGGAAUGGGUUUUGUUGGGAGAAGUUUGGAGCGGGAUGAGGAGGGGGAUUUGGGGGAAUGGACGAGCAGGAUUUUUGCCCGUGGGAUUUGUGCUGGGUUUUGGCAAGCGGAUCUCAGGGAUGGACUUUCCUGAGGGAGGGGGCUUUGGGAAGUGGUUCUGAGGGAAUGGGAUUUUGGAGUGCUUUCAGGGGAACUCGCAGAGAUCCGAUUUUGUGGGAAUGGGAUUUCCCAGUGGGUUUUAGGGGGAGCGAGCUCCGGGAUAUGCUCUCCCAGGGAAGUGGGGAGGUGUUUUUUGGGAAAACACAUUUUGGAGGAGGUUUCUGUGCUGAGGGAUGCAGGGCCAGUCCCGGGAGCUGCGGGAAGAGCCAGAGCAGCGCUUUGGGGCCCUGUGGGUGUGCUCGGGUGGUGGGACCCCCAUUCCCAAAGUUCCCCCAGCUCUGUUUUCAUGGAAGAUCCAGCUCCGAGUGUUUCGGAGCCUCCCCGUGCGCUCGGGGGCGGUGCCAAAGGAGCGGCGACAGCCGGGUGUGACACCGGGGACCCCCGGAGCCAUCCCUGCCGAGCCACCCGAGCACCCCAGGGAUCCAAACCCCUCCCAAGCGCCUGGAAUUGUUGGGAAUUCUCGCCCCCCUCCGCUCAGGGCAGCGCCCAGCCCGGAGAUGCUCCGGAGCAGUUUCCCACGGCCCCGUUUCCCGGAAUGCGGAGCGGGGCCGGGAUUGCCGGGAGAGCAGUGACACCUAGUGACACUCGGGAUAUCGGGACACCGGGAUCCGGACACCGGGACACCGGGAUCCGGACACCAGGAUACCGGGAUAUCGGGAUCCAGGCACUGGGACACCGGGGUAUCGGGACACCGGGAUAUCGGGACACCGGGAUACCGGGACACCGGGAUACCGGGAUACCGGGAUCCAGGCACCGGGACGCGGGAAUGAGCCCGGGAGCCGGGACGGGCACAGCCGUGGGCUCCGGGCAGCCCCUUCCCCACCGCUUCCCUUUUCCAAGGGCACAGAUCCCAUUGCUGAAUUCCCAGGAGCCCGGGACAGCCCCGCAGAGCUCCGCCGCCUUCCUUGAGCUUCAGAUUCCCGGGAAUCCCUGGCUGGAAUCACAGAGCGCGGAACGGUUUGGGAUUGGGAGGGACUUUAAAUCCCAUCCCAUUCCACCCUUUCCAUGGACAGGGAUUCCUGCCCCCAUCCCAGGCUGGCCGGGACCUCCUGCAGCCACCACACCUCCCUUUGGGAAUAAUCCUGGCAAUCCCAGUGCCUGAGGAAAACCUGGGAAUCUCUCCCAGGAAACUUUAGGGCCCUGGAAGCUUUGAUUUUCUCUAUUAUUUUUCCUCACGUUUUUCCCUAUAUGCUUUUCCUUAUGUUUUCACUUUGGUUGUGAUCGGAAUUUGUUCUGCUCUGAGAUAUGCACACAAAAAUCGGGAAUUUUGGAUUUGGGAAAGGAUUGUGUCAGGAUCCCUUUCAUCCCAGGAUGCCAGCAGGGCCAACAUCCCACUCCAGGAUCCUCCUUUUUGGGAAAAUCCCCCGCUUUGUUCUGCUCCAGUUAUAAAAGUGGGAAAAGCAGGAAUGAAAGGGUGGAGAACAAUCCCACGGAUGGGUGGGAUGUGGAGCUGCUGAGUGACUCCAGAGGCCAUGGAGGUGGAUUUUUUAAGCUUCCCAUAAAUUUGGGAUCAUGGGAUAGUGUAGGAAACUCUGGAAAUUCCCAGAGCAGCAGGGACAGUUUUAUAUAAAGAACAAUUCCAAU